AGAUCAUGUCCAUUACUUUUUCAUUCAUUAAUUUCUAAUUAUAUAAGCAUUAACAUUCAAAUGUGUAAUAUUGAAUAGUAAUGGAUACAAAAGUAAUGGAGGGGAACC
This 108-nucleotide microRNA precursor is filed under the name Gossypium raimondii (Peruvian cotton). RNAcentral's name for it is "miR8661 stem-loop (gra-MIR8661)". Lineage: Eukaryota; Viridiplantae; Streptophyta; Magnoliopsida; Malvales; Malvaceae. The record is from miRBase by way of RNAcentral.